Molecule: ribosomal RNA, 496 nt
Filed under: uncultured bacterium
Lineage: Bacteria
Description: bacterial SSU rRNA
Rfam family: Bacterial small subunit ribosomal RNA
Source: RNAcentral
AACAAACGCUGGCGGCGUGUCUUAAGCAUGCAAGUUGAGCGGCAAGGAGGAGAGAUCCUCCCUAGAGCGGCGGACUGGUGAGUAACGCGUGGGUAAUCUAUCGUAGGCAUGGGGAUAGUCACUAGAAAUAGUGGGUAAUACCGAAUACGUUCCAUGAGGGGAGUAUUCAUGGAAGAAAGGGUGCUACGGCACUGGCCUUAGGUGAGCUCGCGUCCCAUUAGCUAGUUGGUGAGGUAAAGGCCCACCAAGGCGAUGAUGGGUAGCCGGCCUGAGAGGGUGGCCGGCCACACUGGGACUGAGACACGGCCCAGACUCCUACGGGAGGCAGCAGUGGGGAAUAUUGCGCAAUGGACGGAAGUCUGACGCAGCGACGCCGCGUGAGCGACGAAGGCCUUCGGGUCGUAAAGCUCUGUUCUUGGGGACGAAUAAAAUGACGGUACCAACGGAGAAAGCCCCGGCUAACUACGUGCCAGCAGCCGCGGUAAGCUCGUCUCUA